UACACUCCUACGGGAGGCAGCAGUGGGGAAUUUUGGACAAUGGGCGAAAGCCUGAUCCAGCAAUGCCGCGUGAGUGAAGAAGGCCUUCGGGUUGUAAAGCUCUUUUGUCCGGGAAGAAACGGUGAGAGCUAAUAUCUCUUGCUAAUGACGGUACCUGAAGAAUAAGCACCGGCUAACUACGUGCCAGCAGCCGCGGUAAUACGUAGGGUGCAAGCGUUAAUCGGAAUUACUGGGCGUAAAGCGUGCGCAGGCGGUUUUGUAAGUCUGAUGUGAAAUCCCCGGGCUCAACCUGGGAAUUGCAUUGGAGACUGCAAGGCUAGAAUCUGGCAGAGGGGGGUAGAAUUCCACGUGUAGCAGUGAAAUGCGUAGAUAUGUGGAGGAACACCGAUGGCGAAGGCAGCCCCCUGGGUCAAGAUUGACGCUCAUGCACGAAAGCGUGGGGAGCAAACAGGAGUAGAAACCCGGGUAGUCCCAUGAU
This 478-nucleotide ribosomal RNA is filed under the name uncultured organism. Its description in RNAcentral is "partial 16S ribosomal RNA". It matches the Rfam family "Bacterial small subunit ribosomal RNA", at positions 332 to 801 of the family's 1533-position model. The record is from RNAcentral.